Molecule: long non-coding RNA, 1283 nt
Filed under: Zonotrichia albicollis (white-throated sparrow)
Lineage: Eukaryota; Metazoa; Chordata; Aves; Passeriformes; Passerellidae
Description: lncRNA (ENSZALG00000017744.1)
Source: RNAcentral
CCUCUUUAAAAAGGCUGCUGGUGAGAAGUGGGGCUCACGGCACGAAGGCACGUGCCUGACGUUGCUGAUGCACAAUUCCAAGCACAGCCUCCUUGCCUUUUACAUCCUUUAGAGCAGCAAGGAUGCCCCAGUCUGACUGGAUGGGGUUUGUAUGUCUGUGCACUGAGAAUGACUCCUGCUCCCUCUGAAGAAAGCCUGGUGGUGAAUCUGGGUGCUGCAGACUUGAGAAGCUGCUGUCAACAAACCCAAGGAGAAAAGAAAGCCCAGGGCCCUUUGGUGAUUGGCAGAUUCAGUCACUUAAAUGCUGAGCCCAAAGCUGAAGCCUGAGCAGAGUCUGUUUCACAGAACCAUGUGAAUGCCAUCGGAAACUUUUUUCAUUUUAACUUGUUUAAAAAUAUCAGCCAUCUGAGGACAAUUCAUUUCCAGGACUUUAUAUAACAUGCAAAGUACUGUGAGGGGAUAUUUUUAAUGUAUUUGCAGUUUGCUCUAGUAUCAUAGAGCAGGGAGAAUGUCUUAGCUUGUUUUUUUCCAUUCCUGUAGCCUGUACUGUAGAUACAGAUAAUACCAUUCAAGAGGAAACAGAAGGUUGCAUUUUCAUUUGGAGUUGACAAGUGGCACAUUAUUUCCCAAUAUCUGAAUGUAAAAAGCUGUACAGAAAUAGAAAAAUUUCUGGCUGCCAUAUUUACAAAACUAAAAUCUUAUUGCUAAAUGCCUUAAAAAAAAGGUGAAAGAAAUAUCUAUAUAAAGAAAUCUUUCAGGCAGAGCUUGCUUCUGCCUGUAUUUCUGCCUUUCCGGGGGAUUUCUGCAGGUCGUCUGAAUGACCCACAAGAAUCUUUCUAGACCUUCCUCUUCUUGUCCUCUACAAAGGCUUGUCUGCCCCUAAGUAACAGAUACCCAUAAAUGCAGGGAAAGGAAGUUACUAGCAGCCACAGUACUGCAGGUAUUUUGGCUAGAACAAUUCACCAUUUCUUCCCUUACUCUGCAGCUAUUGGCUUAUGGUGAGGGUGGUUGUAAAUCACAAAACUAAGAUUGAAACAAAGCUAACAGAAUGAAAGUUAAGCACAAAAAGUCAUAACACAGUCUUAGUCCCUUUCAUAAACAUGCUGGAGGUUGUAGCACUAACGUUGGGUAAGAAGUCAGGAGUUCUGUUCACCUAGCAGGAAAGAACUGUUACCCAGUUCUCUAUAAAGUCAAGAAUUUACUGACCCAUCCUAUUUUCGUUAUAUAAACAAACUGAUUUUUCACCAGCAGCAAAUAGCUUGAGGCAAUUAAUUUUUACUUAA